Molecule: long non-coding RNA, 925 nt
Organism: Carassius auratus (goldfish)
Lineage: Eukaryota; Metazoa; Chordata; Actinopteri; Cypriniformes; Cyprinidae
Exons: 2
Source: RefSeq, a predicted model, not a curated record
UAGUUACUAGUAAUUAGUUACUGCCCAACACCGCUCAUUUUAUGCUUUAUUAUAUCACCAAAUCUUUUUUUAACUGAUUGUUCGUAAAAAAAAAUAUAUAUAUAAAAAAAAUUAAAAAAAAAUCUCAACCGGUCACAUGCAAAUUUCUUCCAGGUUCAAAUGCAGUUCAGGGUCUCCUUUGCUGGGUGAAGGCACAAAAUGGGGCGACUGGGGUGGCUGGAGCCAAACAAGGAAUGUGUGGUAUCAAGAUGCGGGUUGAAAUACCGCAAGGAAUCGGAGACGACACUGCUCUCAAUGACGUGCGCAACUGCGCAUGUACUGCUGCAGUUAAGCUGAAGCGAACGCAAUCAAGCACCUGGAUCUCAGAGCUGUCGAGAGGCAUCCAGCUGCAGCCCCGCAGACUCACUUCUUGCUAGACACCAGUGGCUGGACACCAGUGAAUGGACAGCAGACGUCAUUUCCGUAUCGUCAUUCACUUUUCAAAUUGACGUAAUUUCCGUACCGUCAUUCACUUUUCAAUUUUGACGCGCCAUGCAGAUGUCAGCGGUGUGGUGAAUGUCAAAAAACUGCCCCAGGCUGUAAGAGACAUGUGUGUCCCUUUUAAAAUUGUACAAUGCAGAAAUUGCAGAUGUUUUUUCAAAGAUGGUUGGGGUACUGUGGAAACGGAAGAUGUGGAGACCUGCGAGGGUUUUAUACAGACCCUGAAUUUCCUGAGCAUUGCCCAGACUGCCAGUUUUAGGGGGCAGGAAUGAGGUGUGGUGUGCACAGUGUGCAAUAGUCUAUUUGGAACUGUUCAUGUUUUAUUUUCUCUUGAAAUAGGGCCUGACUGUGGCAUCUUCGUUCUGAUGGUCAGAUUUGACAAGUUUUACUAAUUAGAUUGUGUAAUUUUCAAUAAAUAUUGCAAAACCAUGAAGUGUUAAUUUGA